Regulatory RNA element from Aeromonas hydrophila subsp. hydrophila ATCC 7966, 52 nucleotides. It matches the Rfam family "L31-Gammaproteobacteria ribosomal protein leader". Lineage: Bacteria; Pseudomonadati; Pseudomonadota; Gammaproteobacteria; Aeromonadales; Aeromonadaceae. The record is from Rfam.
CGUGUGGUGUCCGACAGAAGAUCGGAUAGCGACACGGCCUGAUAAUUGAGGU